UACCUGCAGCUCGAGUGGUAACCGCUAUUAUUGGGCCUAAAGCGUCCGUAGCCGGUUUGGUAAAUAUCUGGGUAAAUCGUGAGGCUUAACUUCACGAAUUUCGGAUAGACUGCCAGACUUGGGAUCGGGGGAGGUCAGAGGUACUCCAGGGGUAGCGGUGAAAUGUUGUAAUCCUUGGAGGACCACCGGUAGCGAAGGCGUCUGACUAGAACGAGUCCGACGGUGAGGGACGAAGCCCUGGGGCGCAAACCGGAUUAGAUACCCGGGUAGUCCAGGGUGUAAACUAUGUGGGCUUUGUAUUGGAGGUCCCACGUGGGCGUCCAGUGCAGAAGAGAAGUUGUUAAGCCCACCGCCUGGGAAGUACGGUCGCAAGGCUGAAACUUAAAGGAAUUGGCGGGGAGCACAGCAACGGGAGGAGCGUGCGGUUUA
This 429-nucleotide ribosomal RNA is filed under the name uncultured archaeon. RNAcentral's name for it is "bacterial SSU rRNA". It matches the Rfam family "Archaeal small subunit ribosomal RNA", at positions 474 to 904 of the family's 1478-position model. The record is from RNAcentral.